GGAUACAGAUUGGUAUAGUGACAGCUGUGUCUCUUGUGCUGUGUUGCCUACUUACUGAAUACAGGCACUAUUUCCGCUUCGGUUUGUCGUUUUGUGUCGACCAUUUUCCUGCUCAAAGGAUGCUGUGGCUCCAACAGCGGCUUUAGUUGCAGCUCAGACGUCACACCGUUAACAGGAAAGACAGACAGACGGACAAACAGACAGAGAGUCAGUUCGCAUUUUCGUUGCUGCGAAAAUUGCCAAUAAAAGUAACAAAAAUAACAAAAAUAACACAUAUAAAGAUUGUAAGCUGCAGCUGAAACUAUAACUUUGAAUACUUAAUAUUAAAGCACAAACACAAAUAAAUAAAGUGCAAUGUCUACACAAGUGUCUAGCAAUUUAUUGGCCGGUAAGCAAAAAAAAAAUAACAAAAACCAAUACUCGUAACAACAUGCCAAAUAUGAUAACU
Drosophila innubila is the source of this 448-nucleotide long non-coding RNA. RefSeq lists it as uncharacterized. The transcript has 2 exons. The record is from RefSeq and is a predicted model, not a curated record. Lineage: Eukaryota; Metazoa; Arthropoda; Insecta; Diptera; Drosophilidae.